RNAcentral lists this ribosomal RNA (253 nucleotides) under uncultured bacterium. RNAcentral's name for it is "partial 16S ribosomal RNA". It matches the Rfam family "Bacterial small subunit ribosomal RNA", at positions 524 to 776 of the family's 1533-position model. The record is from RNAcentral.
UACAGAGGUCUCAAGCGUUGUUCGGAUUCAUUGGGCGUAAAGGGUGUGUAGGUGGCGCCGUAAGUCGGGUGUGAAAUCUCGGGGCUUAACUCCGAAACUGCAUUCGAUACUGCGGUGCUUGAGGACUGGAGAGGAGGCUGGAAUUCAUGGUGUAGCAGUGAAAUGCGUAGAGAUCAUGAGGAAGACCAGUGGCGAAGGCGGGUCUCUGGACAGUUCCUGACACUGAGACACGAAGGCCAGGGGAGCAAACGGG